This 4171-nucleotide long non-coding RNA is filed under the name Ananas comosus (pineapple). RNAcentral's name for it is "long non-coding RNA (ACOM_LNC001450)". Lineage: Eukaryota; Viridiplantae; Streptophyta; Magnoliopsida; Poales; Bromeliaceae. The record is from RNAcentral.
UUCGGUUGAAGCUGACUCGAAUCAUGUUCACACUUUUAGUGCUUCAAGAUUCAGCAUUUGCUACUAAGCAUUUUGAAAAUGAUCUGCUUUUGCUUUCAGUAACAGAUAACCGGCCAUCUGUAAUAAGCAUUUAGUAAAUAAAUCAUGAUAUAUAUACUACAGCAAAAAUCAAAGAUAAGAUUCUGCAAUCCUAAGACAGAAACUUGUAAUUUGAAACUUAAAACUUUAAUUAUGUAUAAAGAAAAUUCAUUAAAGAAAUUUUAGUGUAAUGCUUAUUUUUUCUAUAAGCACUACUAAAGUAACACUUUGUUUAACGACACGACACCCUAUAAUAAGGCGAAAGACUUUUAAGAUGUAUAUAGCUAACCAAAUUUAUAGUAGUGAGGGCUCCUAAGAUUCUAAGUUCAACAUCAACAAUCCCACCAAAUUGGCUCUAAAUUUUUUUUAAAAAAAUAAUAAUAUUAAUCAACUUAUCCCAUUAUUACUAUUUUUCUAUUAUUAUUCUCCUUGCUUUAUCAUAGGUUAGGUAUGAGAUAUCCCAAUGAAGGAAAGAAUAAAAGUAGUACUAAACCCUAUCUACAAGUCUCACCCAAUUGAUUUGAAACUUACUUGAGUUGAGGGAGCUUGAGUAAAACUAACAUGAGAUCCCUAAUAACAAUGCCUUUUUACUUUUCAUUUGGGGAAAAAAAAUAUUUUUUUCAUUAGAUUUUAAUUUCCUAACAAUAUUUAUAUAUGUAAUAGAGGCAAAAAAAAAUUAAGUUGAAGUUGCUGUUAUUUUUUAACUUCUAAUUAUUACGACUUGUGGAAUAUAAUUAAAUGAUUGAAAUAUUGUUUUUGCUUAAUUUUUUUUAAAAAUUAAUUAUUUCACAUAAUAAUAUUGGAACAGGAGGUUUUAAAUUCGAAUUCUUUACUUUAUGAAAAAAAAUACUAUUGAAUAAACUUACUAGAAUAUGCCCUAACAACUUUUUAUUAAUAAUUUUUUUAUUUUAGAAAUAUAUAUAUGUAUAUAGAUUCUCUAAACUUUAACUCUUUUUCAAAUUGUUCAAAAAUAUACAGAGAAUCUCCUUGACUAUCUAGUACGGAUGAAUGGAGUGUUUGAGCUCUUGGACCAUAAUAAAAGAAGAAUUUUCGCGGAAAAAACACGUAAAUUUAGGCCGUAUUUGUUAUAUUAGAACUAAGGUUUUAAUAUAACAAAUAAGAUACUAUACCAAUAAGAUACUGACACGAUACAGACUUCGUGCCGAUGGUACAGCUCAAAACUCUCUAUUUUUUAAAUUAAUACGUAAUUUUCUUAAUAAAAUUUAAAAGAUGUGAUAAAAAAAUAUAAUAAAUAGUUAAAAUAUUUUGUUGCUAAAGAAAAUAAAUAUUUCAUGCUAUUAUGUGUCAGCACACAAGAGUUUUUUUGACUGGCACGCAUCAACACGGUUCGACACGCACCGUGCCGUACCGUGCCGGUAAGCUUUCGACACUACUUCAUGUCACGGCACUCAAAUUCUUAAUUAGAACUACACUCCAUAGAAGACGGUGAGUUUCGUCUGUACGACGAAACUCACUACUUCGUGGUCUUUGAGACGACCUCGCACUUGCGGGCCGUGCGGGUCCCAUGGAAGUCGGAGAUAGUGGUUACGUCCAAAUGCCAGCGAUCUCUUGCUUGCGUUACAUGAAUUCACGAAUUCUUAGUCGGAUUUUCGUCUAAACAAACAGGCUUUUUAUUUCCCCUCCAAAAAAAAAAAAGUUUUUUUAGUAAAUUUACUAAUAUACCCCUAGGAAAAGUAUAUAAAGCUAAAAUUGGGGGAAACCUAAUUAAUUAGAAUUGUGUUUACUUUUUUGGCGGUUUCGGCGUUUCGCGUCUCCCGACGCAUCUCCACCUCACAAAAAUAAUUAAAUAAUAAUUAAUAAUAAGAAUUAUUAUUAUUAUUAUUAUUAUUAUUAUUAUUAUUUGUUUCGUCGCCUUCUCCACGGCACUGCUUGCGUGUCGCCAUCUCCCUCCCCCGGCCCACUGGGCCCCACCUCCCCCGCUGCACCCUACCUGCGUUCGCCACGUGUCCAUACUCCUCGUCGUCCCUUCUCCGUGCACCGCGCUUUGUACACCGGAUCCCUGUACUCUUUUUUGGGGUAAAAUUCAAAUGUCAUCUCUGUGGUCUCGCACUUUCUCAUUUUAGUACUCUGAUUUAAAAUGUAUCAAUUUAGUAAUUCGUGUCCUUAAUAUUUUAUUAAAUUGUAUAUAAAAAUUUUAAAUAUCUCAUCUACGUUUAUCGAAUAUUCACUUUAAUAUCUUUUAGUUUUAACUUUUCUCACUGAUUUAACGAAAAAAUUAGUAAAGAAAAUAAUAAAAAGAGAAAAAUAAAACCACGGGGCACUGAAUUGAUACACUUUAAAUCAUAUGAUACUAAAAUAAAAAAGUGUGAAACUAUAAGGAUCGUAUUUGAAGGCUUUUCUUUUCUUUUUUUUUUGGUUCGUAUUAGGCUGCUGGCAAUCUAUCUCUCUAUUCGCCGGCUAGUAGAGAGCAUCAGUCUCGAGGUUACUUUGAGCUGAACACGAGUAAUUUUUCAACCCGAAAUCUUAACGAGCCGAAUAUGAACUAAGAUCCACUUGCUAGUAUUUGACUCGUUGAAGUUCGAAUAUAUAUUUAUAUGUUUCAACUAUUUAGAUUUUAAGCCGAUUCAAAUAAAAAGAGACCUAUAUUUCGUGAAUAUAAUUAUUAGAUUAAAAUUUUAAUUUUUAAUUUUCUCGUAACCUCUACUAGUAGAAGGACUGACGAUCUAAGUUGCUACUCGUGAGCUAACUCUUGUUCAGCUCAUUUAACGAAGAAGUGAACACGAGCCGACCCCAGCUCGCUCUUGUUCGCCCAUUGACGGCUCCAAUUGGUAGGACCGGCUUAAUAUAAUAUAAUUUUUUUUAUAAUUUGAUAGACCAGGUCUAUAGACCAGGUCCACGCAACUAUUUCCGCGUUCUCGUGUCGUCUCCCUCGCUCUCUCCCACAGCCGCAUACGUCGCUGUUCCCUUCUAUUUAAAACCCUAAGCGGCGGAGUCUCAAUUCGGGGCUUCGAGCUCCAUUUUGAUCGCCUAGUACCCACAAUUUUCCACCUUUUAACCCAAAAUUUCCAAAAUUUUCAUCUAUCAAUCGCUCAGUUCACCCAAUUUGAUCCGUUUGUAGCCGUUUGGUUGGAGAAUCGAGAACUCUCUGUGGGGUUUUUGCACCAGGUGAGUGAUCGAUCGCUUCUUCUGUGUCCAAGUCCUCUAAUCCCUGCCUCGGGGUGUUUGAUUUCGCUGCGAUCGUGUCCAAGUUUAGAUUUUUCUCUUAUUUUGGCUACUUUUUUUUUUUGUGGGUUUUUAAUCGGUUGGCCUCUGUUUCUGCUUUAUCGCCCUCGUUUUAGGAGCCUUUUAACUCGUUUGUGGAGUUAGGGUUACUCUUUUUGUUGGUUUUGUUGGGUUUCGAUCGCUUUUUGUAGCUUUAGUUUUACCCCCCCUUGUUUGUCCGAUUAGGGUUUUGGAUGCUCCGAUUUCUCCGUUUUUCUCCUAGUUUUCUCUGACACCGGCGAGUAAUUCCAAUUGUUUUUUAUAAUUUCUUCUUCUAUACAUAUCUAAAUUUCAAAAUUUUGUAAUUUUGUGGUAAUUUUGGGUUUUUUAUCGCUGUGUUUGUUGUUUCCCUCUCCAAGCUUAUGCGUUUCGUCUUAGUUUGUGUUCAGUGCGUUUCAGUAACGCCUCUCUCCUUCUUCUUUUAAGGGGAAAGUUAGGUUUUUAUUAUGUCUAAAUAUAGCUCUAAUAAUACUUGUUCAAAAGUUGUUUGCUUUGUUGCUAGGAUUAGGAUCGCCAAAUUAGUACCUUUUGUAUGUAUUUAUGAACCAUUUAAUCGGGUUUUGAAUUUGAUCUCAUCAAAAUCACAUUUUUGAUCUAGUUCUUUCAUUGAUCUAUUAGCUAAUUAGUUGAGAAGUUGUUUGAUGUGUUGGUAUGUGCCAUUUCGAUCCAAGUAUCUGGUUGAUAUGUAGGCUAAUGAGUAAUUUACCCUUAUUUAGGAGAUACAAAGAUGGUGAGUGGAAGGCCAGGGAGUGGAGGAGGAUUGGAUGUAUGGUUUAAGAACCUGAUGGUGGCGGGCGAAGGGGGGAAGAUGGAGCGGGCGGGGCCGGUCAUGGCCGGUUGGAAGGAUCUCCCGAUGGAGCUGCUGUUGAGG